This is a long non-coding RNA of Felis catus (domestic cat), 233 nucleotides long. RefSeq lists it as uncharacterized. The record is from RefSeq and is a predicted model, not a curated record. The transcript has 2 exons. Lineage: Eukaryota; Metazoa; Chordata; Mammalia; Carnivora; Felidae.
UAGAACUCCCGUGAAACCCUGGGUACCAGAUCCAAGCCAUGGUAGGCUUGGAUAAACAACAGUCAGGUCUUCAAUCUUCUUCAGAUGCGGUCAAUGUAGUGGCAGGUCCCAGGAAGACAUGAUGUUUGGACACUUUUGGAAAAGACCCAGCUUCGCCAGGGGGAUAUCCUUCCGGGAUUCCCAGCUGCCUCCUGCUUUCUCCUCUUGAUAUAAAAGAAUAACCUUGCUUUUUA